CUGGCUCAGGAUGAACGCUAGCUACAGGCUUAACACAUGCAAGUCGAACGGCGAAAGGGACUUCGGUCCUGAGUAAAGUGGCGCACGGGUGAGUAACGCGUGGAUAAUCUGCCCUAUGAUCGGGAUAACAGUUGGAAACGGCUGCUAAUACCGGAUACGCUCAAAAUGAACUUUUUGAGGAAAGAUGGCCUCUGCUUGCAUGCUAUCACGUAAGGAUGAGUCCGCGUCCCAUUAGCUUGUUGGCGGGUAACGGCCCACCGAAGGCAACGAUGGGUAGCCGAUUUGAGAGGAUGAUCGGCCACACUGGAACUGAAACACGGUCCAGACUCCUACGGGAGGCAGCAGUGGGGAAUAUUGCGCAAUGGGCGAAAGCCUGACGCAGCGACGCCGCGUGAGGGAUGAAGGUUUUCGGAUCGUAAACCUCUGUCAGAAGGGAAGAAACUACGUUGUGCUAAUCAGCAGUCGUACUGACGGUACCUUCAAAGGAAGCACCGGCUAACUCCGUGCCAGCAGCCGC
This 517-nucleotide ribosomal RNA is filed under the name uncultured bacterium. RNAcentral's name for it is "bacterial SSU rRNA". It matches the Rfam family "Bacterial small subunit ribosomal RNA", at positions 19 to 518 of the family's 1533-position model. The record is from RNAcentral.